This 272-nucleotide unclassified non-coding RNA is filed under the name Hevea brasiliensis (rubber tree). The record is from RNAcentral. Lineage: Eukaryota; Viridiplantae; Streptophyta; Magnoliopsida; Malpighiales; Euphorbiaceae.
GAGAGAGAGAAAGAGAGAGAGAGACAAGAGAGAGAAAUAGGCUAAUGGAUUUUGGACCUUUUGGUCACUGGGGGGAAAUUUUUUUUUGGCAUGAUUGUUAAAUUUAGGGUUUGGGAUUGAAUGAAGUGAUAGAGAGAGAAAUAGACACUGAGUAGGGUUUAAGGUUUUGCCGUGAAGGAGGAGAAGGAGAGGGAGCGGAGAAUUACUGCCUGCUUCGCCUCGACCUGACCAUACAAAUUCCGAAUCAAAUGUUAUGUUGUCCACAGAUGUUU